Molecule: small RNA, 287 nt
Filed under: Micromonospora maris AB-18-032
Lineage: Bacteria; Bacillati; Actinomycetota; Actinomycetes; Micromonosporales; Micromonosporaceae
Description: Verrucosispora maris AB-18-032 5' ureB small RNA
Rfam family: 5' ureB small RNA
Source: Rfam by way of RNAcentral
CGGUGACGAUCUGCGGGCAGAUGAAGUGCACGUGGGUGUCGACCGCCCCGGCGGUGAGGAUGCGGCCGUUGCCGGCGAUGACCUCGGUGGCCGGGCCGAUCACCAGGUCGGGGUGCACCCCGUCCAUGGUGUCCGGGUUGCCGGCCCGGCCCAGCGCCACGAUCCGUCCGUCGCGCAGCCCCACAUCGGCCUUGACCACACCCCAGUGGUCGAGCACCACAGCACCGGUGAUGACGGUGUCCAGCGCGCCCUCGGCCCGGGUGGCCCGGGACUGACCCAUCGACUCG